CCUACGUGAGGCAGCAGUGAGGAAUAUUGGUCAAUGGGCGCGAGCCUGAACCAGCCAAGUAGCGUGCAGGAUGACUGCCCUACGGGUUGUAAACUUCUUUUAUACAGGAAUAAAGUGAGGCACGUGUGCCUUUUUGUAUGUACUUUAUGAAUAAGGAUCGGCUAACUCCGUGCCAGCAGCCGCGGUAAUACGGAGGAUCCGGGCGUUAUCCGGAUUUAUUGGGUUUAAAGGGAGCGUAGAUGGGUUGUUAAGUCAGUUGUGAAAGUUUGCGGCUCAACCGUAAAAUUGCAAUUGAUACUGGCAGUCUUGAGUACAGUUGAGGUAGGCGGAAUUCGUGGUGUAGCGGUGAAAUGCUUAGAUAUCACGAAGAACUCCGAUUGAGAAGGCAGCUUACUAAACUGUCACUGACAUUGAUGCUCGAAAGUGUGGGUAUCAAACAGGAUUAGAUACCCGAGUAGUC
Molecule: ribosomal RNA, 460 nt
Filed under: uncultured bacterium
Lineage: Bacteria
Description: partial 16S ribosomal RNA
Rfam family: Bacterial small subunit ribosomal RNA
Source: RNAcentral